This 72-nucleotide transfer RNA is filed under the name Candidatus Hodgkinia cicadicola Dsem. Its description in RNAcentral is "tRNA-Cys (GCA) (tRNA-Cys-GCA-1-1)". It matches the Rfam family "tRNA". From Rfam's summary of the family: Transfer RNA (tRNA) molecules are approximately 80 nucleotides in length. Their secondary structure includes four short double-helical elements and three loops (D, anti-codon, and T loops). The record is from RNAcentral. Lineage: Bacteria; Pseudomonadati; Pseudomonadota; Alphaproteobacteria; Hyphomicrobiales.
GGCUUCGUGGUAUAGGGGUUAUUACUUGGGACUGCAAAUCCUCAAGCCUCAGUUCGAGUCUGAGCGAAGCCU